ACGGGGUGCAGCAGGCGCGAAACCUCCACAAUGCGCGAAAGCGUGAUGGGGUUAUCCCGAGUGCCGUCCGAUGAGGAUGGCUUUUUAUCGAUGUAAGGAUUCGAUAGAAUAAAGGGGGGGCAAGACUGGUGUCAGCCGCCGCGGUAAUACCAGCCCCCUGAGUGGUAAGGACGAUUAUUUGGCCUAAAGCGUUCGUAGCCGGCUUAUCAAGUCUUUUGUUAAAUCCAACGAUUCAAUCGUUGGGCCGCAAAAGAUACUGUUAUGCUAGAGGACGGGAGAGGUCGACGGUAGUCCAGGGGUAGGGGUGAAAUCCUAUAAUCCUUGGAGGACCACCAGUGGCGAAGGCGGUCGACUAGAACGUGCCUGACGGUGAGGGACGAAAGCUGGGGGAGCGAACCGGAUUAGAUACCCGGGUAGUCCCAGCUGUAAACGAUGCGGGCUAGGUGUUGGGGCAGCCACGAGCUGCUCCAGUGCCGCAGAGAAGUUGUUAAGCCCGCCGCCUGGGGAGUACGGCCGCAAGGCUGAAACUUAAAGGAAUUGGCGGGGGAGCACCACAAGGGGUGAAGGCUGCGGUUUAAUUGGAGUCAACGCCGGGAACCUUACCGGGGCUGACAGCAGAGUGAAGGCCAGACUGAAGAUCUUGCCAGACAAGCUGAGAGGAGGUGCAUGGCCGUCGCCAGUUCGUGCCGUGAGGUGUCCUGUUAAGUCAGGCAACGAACGAGACCCCCGCUUUUAGUUGCCAGCGGAUUCCAACGGAAUGCCGG
This 764-nucleotide ribosomal RNA is filed under the name uncultured archaeon. RNAcentral's name for it is "bacterial SSU rRNA". It matches the Rfam family "Archaeal small subunit ribosomal RNA", at positions 325 to 1090 of the family's 1478-position model. The record is from RNAcentral.